GACGAACGCUGGCGGCGUGCCUAAUACAUGCAAGUAGAACGCACAGUUUAUACCGUAGCUUGCUACACCAUAGACUGUGAGUUGCGAACGGGUGAGUAACGCGUAGGUAACCUGCCUGGUAGCGGGGGAUAACUAUUGGAAACGAUAGCUAAUACCGCAUAAUAUUGAUUAUUGCAUGAUAAUUGAUUGAAAGAUGCUAUUGCAUCACUACCAGAUGGACCUGCGUUGUAUUAGCUAGUAGGUGAGGUAACGGCUCACCUAGGCGACGAUACAUAGCCGACCUGAGAGGGUGAUCGGCCACACUGGGACUGAGACACGGCCCAGACUCCUACGGGAGGCAGCAGUAGGGAAUCUUCGGCAAUGGACGAAAGUCUGACCGAGCAACGCCGCGUGAGUGAAGAAGGGUUUCGGAUCGUAAAGAUCUGUUGUAAGAGAAGAACGGGUGUGAGAUUGGAAAGUUCACACUGUGACGGUAUCUUACCAGAAAGGGACGGCUAACUACGUG
This 505-nucleotide ribosomal RNA is filed under the name uncultured bacterium. RNAcentral describes it as "partial 16S ribosomal RNA". It matches the Rfam family "Bacterial small subunit ribosomal RNA", at positions 28 to 507 of the family's 1533-position model. The record is from RNAcentral.